GGGUGUGAUUCAGUGGUAGAGUGCUUGCCUAGUAUGCAUGAGGUUCUGGGUUGAAUCCACAGUAUUGCA
This 69-nucleotide transfer RNA is filed under the name Marmota monax (woodchuck). RNAcentral describes it as "tRNA.Thr". Lineage: Eukaryota; Metazoa; Chordata; Mammalia; Rodentia; Sciuridae. The record is from RNAcentral.